GAUAAACGCUGGCGGCGUGCCUAACACAUGCAAGUCGAACGUCCUCGUCUUUCGGGACGAGGGAGUGGCGGACGGGUGAGUAGCACGUAGGUACCUACCCUGGAGUGGGGAAUACCGCCGAGAAAUCGACGACAAUUCCGCAUACGCUCUCUCUUUAUGGAGAGAGCAAAGCCUUCGGGUGCUCAGGGAUGGGCCUGCGGCUGAUUAGCUAGUUGGUGGGGUAAAAGCCUACCAAGGCUCUGAUCAGUAGCUGGUCUGAGAGGAUGAUCAGCCACAC
This 277-nucleotide ribosomal RNA is filed under the name uncultured bacterium. RNAcentral describes it as "partial 16S ribosomal RNA". It matches the Rfam family "Bacterial small subunit ribosomal RNA", at positions 28 to 313 of the family's 1533-position model. The record is from RNAcentral.